AAGAUUGGAAGCUGAACCGAGUGACUCAAGUCUCGGAAAAUUCAAACUGGUGGAUUGUAAAUUGACAAAGGCCCUAUCAACAAAUCUCCAUAUUUUAAAGAAGUCCAUAUUAAAUGAUAUUUGUCUUCAAACUUAACCGGAAAUAAUUAAAUAAAUUUCCAAAUUUAAUGUUUAUCACCAUUUAUGUUAAUUUCGUAAUAAUUUUUUUUUUUUGCAAAAGUUAAAGGAUUGAAAGAAAUUUAUUAUGUCAUUCCUUUUUGAUUUUAUUUUGCAAUCACUCAAGAUUAGGUUUAACUUUUUUAUGUACAACGUUUUGAUUUUACAAUAUAAUUGAGUUUAUAUUGUCCAGGCAUAACAUAAAUGUCACAUAUCCCAUAAAAUACAUAAAAUAAUUAAUCAAAAUUAAUUGUUGAUUUUGAUUAGAUAACGAAAUUGGUAAGCAAAGUAUAUCAUUGUGUUGGAAAAUCUAUGCACUUCCCUUAAUUGUAUAAUUCAAAAUUUCAUCAUAAACUUAAAUUACCAACCAACCGUUGAUGCCGCAAAAUAAUUGAUGGAAAGAAAAUCAAUUACUUUUAAUUCUGAUUAUUCUAAAUUUGAAGCCACGAAAAUAUUUAAGUUUAAUCAAAA
Molecule: long non-coding RNA, 627 nt
Organism: Brassica rapa (field mustard)
Lineage: Eukaryota; Viridiplantae; Streptophyta; Magnoliopsida; Brassicales; Brassicaceae
Source: RefSeq, a predicted model, not a curated record